UUCAAAAUUUUGUGCUCGGAAUCCCUAGGGCUACCGUAAAGUUCGCCCGAGAAGAAAGAAUCGGACCUCAAUUCUCCUUCAAGGGCGCUUAUUUUUUCACCAGAGCCAAUUUAUUAAAUCACUUGUGAUAAGCAGGAGUUAUCACUAGCAAAGCAAAGGCUACAGGUAUCCAUCCUUGAAAGAACUGACUGUGAAGCACAUAGUCGCGAUUACUUUUUUUUGACAGGAUUUGGGUGGUUCAGAUCCUGAAGAUGCAGAGUCUCAAGAUCGCUUGCAUUACUCACAUUGUAGGAUCAUAAUGGGAGUCCUUGGUAAAUUUCGAACUCCUUACAAGAAAGUUCCUGGUGCCAAGAAGCUUACCCGAGCAGAAAAACUCUUCAAUUGCUAAGAAAAGGUCCUCCUUGAUGAUAUUCCAAGCAUUCUUGAAGAAAAAAGCACUGAAACCAUCAGGCCCUGGAGCUUUGCCAUUUUCCACGGAGAAAACAGCUUUUUUUAUCUCAUCUCUAGAGACAGGCCUGCUCAGUUCAUUACACUGGCUUUGGGAGAGAACUGGUCCACUUGAAAUCACAGUUGGGUCAGGAUGCGUGGUAGGUGUUUUUGUACCAAUGAGAUUUUUGUAAUAAUCAGUAAAUUCACUUAUGAUCCCGACAUAUCUGAGAUUCUGAUCCCAUUCUCAGAUUGUAUUGAUAGAAUUCUAUUUUGAUGUCUCUUAGCC
This is a long non-coding RNA of Asparagus officinalis (garden asparagus), 715 nucleotides long. RefSeq lists it as uncharacterized. Lineage: Eukaryota; Viridiplantae; Streptophyta; Magnoliopsida; Asparagales; Asparagaceae. The record is from RefSeq and is a predicted model, not a curated record. The transcript is spliced from 6 exons.